Non-coding RNA from Frankia sp., 75 nucleotides. The record is from Rfam. NCBI's taxonomy places the organism in Bacteria, Bacillati, Actinomycetota, Actinomycetes, Frankiales, Frankiaceae.
CUUCACCGAGCCGAGCAGCAACGGCCGGUCCGCCGGCCGCUCCUGGCCGUAGGUGGCGAGCAGCGCCGCGGCCUC